RNAcentral lists this ribosomal RNA (471 nucleotides) under uncultured bacterium. RNAcentral's name for it is "bacterial SSU rRNA". It matches the Rfam family "Bacterial small subunit ribosomal RNA", at positions 330 to 793 of the family's 1533-position model. The record is from RNAcentral.
UACGCACUCCUACGGGAGGCAGCAGUGGGGAAUAUUGCACAAUGGGCGCAAGCCUGAUGCAGCCAUGCCGCGUGUAUGAAGAAGGCCUUCGGGUUGUAAAGUACUUUCAGCAGUGAGGAAGGUGGGUAUGUUAAUAGCAUACUCAUUUGACGUUAGCUGCAGAAGAAGCACCGGCUAACUCCGUGCCAGCAGCCGCGGUAAUACGGAGGGUGCGAGCGUUAAUCGGAAUUACUGGGCGUAAAGCGCAUGCAGGUGGUUUGUUAAGUCAGAUGUGAAAGCCCGGGGCUCAACCUCGGAAUUGCAUUUGAAACUGGCAAACUAGAGUACUGUAGAGGGGGUAGAAUUUCAGGUGUAGCGGUGAAAAUGCGUAGAGAUCUGAAGGAAUACCGGUGGCGAAGGCGGCCCCCUGGACAGAUACUGACACUCAGAUGCGAAAGCGUGGGGAGCAAACAGGAUUAGAUACCCUGGUAG